Molecule: ribosomal RNA, 527 nt
Filed under: uncultured bacterium
Lineage: Bacteria
Description: bacterial SSU rRNA
Rfam family: Bacterial small subunit ribosomal RNA
Source: RNAcentral
CUGAUGCAGCACGCCGCGUGAGGGAUGAAGGCCUUCGGAUUGUAACCUCUUUCAGUAGGGACGAAACGCAAGUGACCGUACCUGCAAAAGAAGGACCGGCUAACUACAUGACACCCGCCGCAAUAAUACGUAGGGUGCGAGCGUUGUCCUGAAUGGCUGAGCGUGAAGCGCACGUAGGCGGUUUGUCACGUCGUCAGUGACAUCGCUCAGCUUAACCGGGGGCGUGCAGGCGAUACCGGCAGACUUGAGUACAAAAGGGGAGACUGGAAUUCGUGGAGUAGAAGUGAAAUGCCCAGAUAACAAGAGAAACGCCGGAAGCGAAGGCGGAUCUCUGGGUAGAACUGACGCUCAGGAGCGAAAGCGUGCGUAACGAACAAGAUUCCAUGCCAUGGUACUCCAUGCCAUACACGGUGGGCGCUAGGUGUGGGGACCUUCCACGGACUCCGUGCCCUAGCUAACGCAUUAAGCGCCCCGCCUGGGGAGUACGGCCGCAGGCUAAAACUAAGGAAUUGACGGGGCCCGCACAA